GUUAAUUCGCUCAGCCAAGAUCACACAGGCUUAACCCAAUCCAGCCUUCCUAAGGAGAAUCAAAGCUUGGUUUUGCUAUUGCAUCCCUCGGUCUGAGCCACCGGAAGAGGAAAAUGAAGAUGGAAUUACCACUGGCUUGGGCCACACAAUCCCUGCUGUGAGCUUGGUGCUCGUUCGGUUUUUAUCUCUCACCCAUUACAAGAAACUUUCUCUACUCUAAACAAUUCCUGGGAACUUCUGAGUUGAAAUCAAAUAGAAUAUGUUGGUAGUUCAUCAUGGUUUUGUUAUCCAUUUUUUCACAAACAUUAAACUUUGUAUUAAAUUUCGGGCAAAUAAUAGAAGGGUCAAGAUGUUCAUUAACUUCAACUGAUGUUGCUUUUUCUCAUGAUUUUAAAAAGUGACAUUGAUUUUUGAAAAAUGUCUUUGAGUUCUGUGGAGCCCCAAACUUCAGCAGCAUCAGCAUAAAUACAAUUUAGUGUAUCUCUUUAAAGGAGGAAUUAAUUUGAAAAUGAUGAAAAUAGCUCAGGUGAAAAGGGUGGUGUAUUUGGGAAAUAAAGGUAUUAGUCAGAUUCACUGGAGCUGCAGAUGUUUCAGUUUCUCCAGCACUUUAACAGAAUUACCAUCUUUAGCAGAGGAGAAAUAUUCACCAUGUGAUAAUCACUAAAUGCUCUCAUGAAGUUUAAGUGCAUGAAGCCACAUAUACCAUUGAGUGUUUGAAUUUAUUUUACAAAAAGAAAUCUACCUACUGUAAGGUGAUCUAAAAGUAAAUUUAUGAUUGGAUAAGAAAAGGCAAAGAUUAUAGACUGAACAGUAUUCAUUAUGUGCUAUAAUUUAGUAAGUUAUACUAUAGUUUAAUUUGCCUAAAAAGUGUUUACAAUCCAGUUGGGUUGUCAUCUUUUUUCUUCAGAAUGUUUGAAUGAGCUAAGCGCUCAUACAUUGUUAAAAGCUUUAUUGAAAACGUGGCAUUCUUUUAAGUCCAAACAAUAAAUGUGGUUAACCUCAUUUCAUU
This 1009-nucleotide long non-coding RNA is filed under the name Heterocephalus glaber (naked mole-rat). RNAcentral's name for it is "lncRNA (ENSHGLG00100043351.1)". The record is from RNAcentral. Lineage: Eukaryota; Metazoa; Chordata; Mammalia; Rodentia; Bathyergidae.